UCUUGGUCCAUUUAGAGGAAGUAAAAGUCGUAACAAGGUUUCCGUAGGUGAACCUGCGGAAGGAUCAUUAAUAAACUAGUCGUUCGUGUAGGGGUAACCUGAUCAUCACGAUGUAAGCUCACUAGUCACCCUUGAAUAAACUACCUUUGUUGCUUUGGCGGGCCGCCCCUCGGGGCCAGCGGCUCCGGCUGCUGCGUUGCCCGCCAGAGGACCACAACUCUUGUUUUUAGUGAUGUCUGAGUACUAUAUAAUAGUUAAAACUUUCAACAACGGAUCUCUUGGUUCUGGCAUCGAUGAAGAACGCAGCGAAAUGCGAUAAGUAAUGUGAAUUGCAGAAUUCAGUGAAUCAUCGAAUCUUUGAACGCACAUUGCGCCCUUUGGUAUUCCGAAGGGCAUGCCUGUUCGAGCGUCAUUAUAACCACUCAAGCUUUCGCUUGGUAUUGGAGCUCGCGGUCUCGCGGCUCCUAAAAUCAGUGGCGGUGCCUGUCGGCUCUACGCGUAGUAAUACUCCUCGCGAUUGAGUCCGGUGGGUAGCUUGCCAACAACCCCCAAAUUUUUACAGGUUGACCUCGGAUCAGGUAGGGAUACCCGCUGAACUUAAGCAUAUCAAUAAGCGGAGGAA
RNAcentral lists this ribosomal RNA (622 nucleotides) under Cephalosporium sp. 2 TMS-2011. RNAcentral describes it as "eukaryotic LSU rRNA". The stretch from base 259 to 412 matches the Rfam family "5.8S ribosomal RNA". The record is from RNAcentral. Lineage: Eukaryota; Fungi; Ascomycota; Sordariomycetes; Hypocreales.